This 783-nucleotide ribosomal RNA is filed under the name uncultured bacterium. Its description in RNAcentral is "bacterial SSU rRNA". It matches the Rfam family "Bacterial small subunit ribosomal RNA", at positions 1 to 774 of the family's 1533-position model. The record is from RNAcentral.
AUAGGGGUUUGAUCAUGGCUCAGAUUGAACGCUGGCGGCAUGCUUUACACAUGCAAGUCGAGCGGCAGCGCGGGACUCGGGCAACCGAGCCCUGGCGGCGAGCGGCGAACGGGUGAGUAAUGCAUCGGAACGUACCCAGUCGUGGGGGAUAACUAUCCGAAAGGAUAGCUAAUACCGCAAACGUCCUGAGGGAGAAAGCGGGGGACCGUAAGGCCUCGCGCGAUUGGAGCGGCCGAUGUUCGAUUAGCUAGUUGGUGAGGUAAAGGCUCACCAAGGCGACGAUCGAUAGCUGGUCUGAGAGGAUGAUCAGCCACACUGGAACUGAGACACGGUCCAGACUCCUACGGGAGGCAGCAGUGGGGAAUUUUGGACAAUGGGGGCAACCCUGAUCCAGCCAUUCCGCGUGAGUGAAGAAGGCCUUCGGGUUGUAAAGCUCUUUCGGCAGGAACGAAACGGUGAUCAUUAAUACUGGUUGCUAAUGACGGUACCUGAAGAAGAAGCACCGGCUAACUACGUGCCAGCAGCCGCGGUAAUACGUAGGGUGCGAGCGUUAAUCGGAAUUACUGGGCGUAAAGCGUGCGCAGGCGGUUUCGUAAGACAGCUGUGAAAUCCCCGGGCUUAACCUGGGAACUGCGGUUGUGACUGCGAGACUAGAGUCAGGCAGAGGGGGGUGGAAUUCCACGUGUAGCAGUGAAAUGCGUAGGGAUGUGGAGGAACACCGAUGGCGAAAGCAGCCCCCUGGGCUAUGACUGACGCUCAUGCACGAAAGCGUGGGAGCAAACA